RNAcentral lists this ribosomal RNA (387 nucleotides) under uncultured bacterium. Its description in RNAcentral is "bacterial SSU rRNA". It matches the Rfam family "Bacterial small subunit ribosomal RNA", at positions 30 to 418 of the family's 1533-position model. The record is from RNAcentral.
AUUGAACGCUGGCGGCAUGCCUUACACAUGCAAGUCGAACGGCAGCACGGGAGCAAUCCUGGUGGCGAGUGGCGAACGGGUGAGUAAUAUAUCGGAACGUGCCCAGUCGUGGGGGAUAACGUAGCGAAAGCUACGCUAAUACCGCAUACGAUCUAUGGAUGAAAGCGGGGGAUCGCAAGACCUCGCGCGAUUGGAGCGGGCCGAUAUCAGAUUAGGUAGUUGGUGAGGUAAAGGCUCGCCAAGCCGACGAUCUGUAGCUGGUCUGAGAGGACGACCAGCCACACUGGGACUGAGACACGGCCCAGACUCCUACGGGAGGCAGCAGUGGGAAUUUUGGACAAUGGCGCAAGCCUGAUCCAGCAAUGCCGCGUGCAGGAUGAAGGCCUU